AAAAAAAGUAUUAGUUACCGGCUUAUGCUGGUAUGCUCAUCAGGUAGCCAAGUUUUGAUUAUGUGGGCUCGGUGCCAUAUUUUUUUAUUUGAGCAUGCAUGUAUGUCUUAGGUUUCAGAUCCUUUGCCUUUGCUGGAGCGCUCGAUCUCUUAACCUUUUCUUACCCCUGGAAAAGAGUUAAAUCGAUGACAGAUUAUGCAACCGUAUUUUGGAUUUCUAGCGUACUGAGUGUAGCUCAACUCUGCUUCUUGUCGUGAAAUCUAUCCAUCCGAACAGAUGCGCUCAUAUUUACGUCUAAUUAUUCUUUUAUCGAUAGAUGAUUUAUAUAUGUACCCGCCAAUUAAAUAUGGCAAUAAACCUAUGUAUACUAGGUAUUGUCACCCCGAACCCACCCCCGAUAAACAAAUUCUUACACCAGAGAUCCCAAAAUAACUAAUGGGAAUUAUUUUUCUUUCAAUCCACACCCAUGUUCCUUGGCUGGUUAAUUGGUGACCC
This 495-nucleotide long non-coding RNA is filed under the name Oryza brachyantha (malo sina). RNAcentral's name for it is "long non-coding RNA (OBRA_LNC000957)". The record is from RNAcentral. Lineage: Eukaryota; Viridiplantae; Streptophyta; Magnoliopsida; Poales; Poaceae.